GAUGAACGCUGGCGGCGUGCCUAAUACAUGCAAGUCGAGCGAACAGACGAGGAGCUUGCUCCUCUGACGUUAGCGGCGGACGGGUGAGUAACACGUGGAUAACCUACCUAUAAGACUGGGAUAACUUCGGGAAACCGGAGCUAAUACCGGAUAAUAUAUUGAACCGCAUGGUUCAAUAGUGAAAGACGGUUUUGCUGUCACUUAUAGAUGGAUCCGCGCCGCAUUAGCUAGUUGGUAAGGUAACGGCUUACCAAGGCAACGAUGCGUAGCCGACCUGAGAGGGUGAUCGGCCACACUGAAACUGAGACACGGUCCAGACUCCUACGGGAGGCAGCAGUAGGGAAUCUUCCGCAAUGGGCGAAAGCCUGACGGAGCAACGCCGCGUGAGUGAUGAAGGUCUUCGGAUCGUAAAACUCUGUUAUUAGGGAAGAACAAAUGUGUAAGUAACUAUGCACGUCUUGACGGUACCUAAUCAGAAAGCCACGGCUAACUACG
Molecule: ribosomal RNA, 495 nt
Filed under: uncultured bacterium
Lineage: Bacteria
Description: partial 16S ribosomal RNA
Rfam family: Bacterial small subunit ribosomal RNA
Source: RNAcentral